GCCCGCGUGGUGUAGCGGUUAGCAUUCUACCCUGUCACGGUAGCGACCCGAGUUCGAGUCUCGGCGUGGGCG
Molecule: transfer RNA, 72 nt
Filed under: Candidatus Pacearchaeota archaeon
Lineage: Archaea; Nanobdellati
Description: tRNA-Asp
Rfam family: tRNA
About the family: Transfer RNA (tRNA) molecules are approximately 80 nucleotides in length. Their secondary structure includes four short double-helical elements and three loops (D, anti-codon, and T loops).
Source: RNAcentral